CGGAGGCUGGAGCCGGUACGUCCCCGGAGGUGUCGGAGCCACGGGGGCCCGCGGUGCUCCGGGGGGACAGGGCCUGCCUGGAGCCCUGACGCACGAGCAGGCUGCCCGCAAGACUUCCCCCAUGACGAUGAUGAUAAGGACAACAGCCUCCCAUCUAUCGUGGUCACGUCAAGUGCGUCACAUCCGGGACAUCCUCGUGCCCUCCGGAGGCCAACGAUCUCCGGCAGUCACGACGGGCACUUCUGCCUGGCAGUUGCACCAUUUCUGGAAAUCCAGACACGGCUUCCUCACCCCCACCCCAGCCCCAGGGCAGUGGGCCCCUCAGGCUCUGGGCAGGGCACUGGCAGGGCGCAGCGGCUAAGAGAAAACGGGGUCCCCAGGGGCGCCUCAAGUCCUUCUUCACACAGUUCUAUUCACGGGCCGGCUCAGGCCAACGCUUGCUGUCCACACAGUGUGUGCUGCUACACUUUACCGCCUAUGCGUCUCUCAACAGCUUCAUGAAGCUGUGGCUACCAGGCCUGAUUUAUACAUAAGACACUUGCUAUCUGAAGAAAUUAAACAACUUUCCCCAAAGUACACACAUCAUGGUGGAGUCCGGAUUUGAGCACAAGGAUCACCUGGGUGUCCUGUACGUGCCAAGGGCUUUUUAAUGCAUUUCCAAUGACAGAAUUUCAGGACCAGUUGCUAAGCCUCGUGAGCUGGCCUAGCAGGUAAAAAUGGCCCGUGUAGUUGGGCAACGGGAGUAGGUUCCAGACAAGCGGCUGCUAUGGCCCCGCGUCUAGCUGGGGUCUGGGCAAAUGUUUGGUGCUAUUUCUGAAAGGCCCUGAGUUGGAGCCGCAGGCUCUGGGUAUCCUGGGGGGCAGCCCAUGCGCGUCUGGGAGGCUGGGCCACAGGAAUAAGGCCACAGCCGCAGAGAUUCAAGCGCAGGAUUUUGCCCGAUAAUUCACCUUUUUAAAAGAGUAAACACGUCUGGUCCUCUAAGGACACAGAAGAGGCCUGGUGAAAUGCACCGAUCCACGUGUGGUGGCCCCGUGGAUUCAUACGCACGCACCCUCCUCGCUCAGAGCUGGAGCUAAAACCGGCGGUUUCCAGACUCCCUUGCCGCCAGGGUGCAAGAUGGGAACUACUUCCUAUCACCCGGACUCGCGUGGGGCCCUGAAUUAUCCGGAAGAGAAAUGCGGGCGGCUUCCCGCCUUAGGAGGCGGCUUCUGGGAGACGGUGGGGCAGCAGCUUCUUGACUGCACACGGGCAGAAGGCCCCGGGCUGCACAGCCUGCAUGGCGGGCUCAGGAGCCCUUCCUGGGCGCUCCUUCCCGGACGUUGCUAUGGUCCUGCCGGGCCUCUUCAAGGUCUUUAAUCCUUCGUAAACGCCUCUUUGUCCAAACCAUCUUAGGUGGAUUCCCUGGCCUGCCACCCGGAACUCUGACCACGCCCCGAAGGAACGCGUCUGCGUGGCUGGGUCCACCCUCUUUACUCCGACCCAGGCCCACCUGACCGGAGGGGCGCCGCUGCCCUCCCUGGGACCAGGACGGCCGCUGCGCUGGAGCAGCUCAGCGACGUCGUCUGCAGUAGAGGACAGGGGCCACCGCGCCCUGCAGGCUUCCACGUGGAACGUGGUGCGUUCCCAGCACCGCGCCCCCACCACACACAGUGAACAGCGCCCCUGGGAGCUCACCUCCCACACGCAGACCAGCCAAUCCAGAGCCCUCCGAGGGCCCCACCCACCUCCUCUGUGGGGCUCCAUCCCCAGGCCCCUGCCCAGCCGCCCCAGGCACACGAGGCCCCAGGUGAGGAAGGGCAGCUCCUACUACGCCCGGGCCGGCUGACCGUCUUCACACGCGCCAGGCCCGAGCCUCCGCAGCCUGUCUCGAAGUUGCUGCCCACACGCUGCCCGCACUCCCUCCGCCUUCUGACCGCCCUGGGCCUCUCUGCGUGGGCCCGGGGCACGGGAGCUGCCCCCUUCUCGUGGGGUCUGUGAUGGACACAAAACCCUUUUGCAACGGCAGCCAUCUACUCACCAGCUCGCCUUGCCACACCUAAGUAAUAAUAAAACCCGUAUUUUGAAACACCCUU
Long non-coding RNA from Pteronotus mesoamericanus, 2072 nucleotides. RefSeq lists it as uncharacterized. The record is from RefSeq and is a predicted model, not a curated record. Lineage: Eukaryota; Metazoa; Chordata; Mammalia; Chiroptera; Mormoopidae. The transcript is spliced from 2 exons.